This 1059-nucleotide long non-coding RNA is filed under the name Sus scrofa (pig). RNAcentral's name for it is "lncRNA (ENSSSCG00030068244.1)". The record is from RNAcentral. Lineage: Eukaryota; Metazoa; Chordata; Mammalia; Artiodactyla; Suidae.
CUGGAGUUGGUGCCCUUUAACACUGAGCUAUAUUAACAGACAGGCUCUGAGACUCUAAUGCCCUCAAUAUGCAGUUUCGGUUUCUAGGGAAGAGUCCUGAGAGUCCCAAGGAGCCAUUUGGGAUCUGCCGGAGCAAGAACAACGGGUAAUUCCUGAUCGCUAGUUAUCUGUGGUUGAGGGGCUAGUUGUUGCCUGGUGACUCACUGUGGUGGCCCUUUACUGUCCAGCUGAUGCCCGUGGCAACAUGCCACGUGCUACCGGCACGGGGAGCGGCUGCAGCUCCAGGAUGAGUGAGUCUGUGCUAGAUUUGGGUGUGGGGGGGCGGGUGGUGGUGGUGGGGGGGUGGUGUUCGGGGGACAGACUGCACAGAACCCUUCUCUCUCCCUCACUUCCCAUUCUCUUUCUACUUCAUUAGCGUGAAGAGCUAAAAGCGAUUCCAAGGAAAUGUAGCAGAAGUGUCAGUCCAGCUGCACUCACGUCCUGGCAAAAGGGACAGACCAAGCCGGCUGCUUCUCCAUGUGCUCUGGUGCUGGUCUCCCACCGGGACACAGAGCAGGGCCGGGGCUCCAAGCACUGCUUUAGGGUCUCCCAGAAGUGCAAGGAAGCCUCACGCGAUGCCUGAUUCAGAAGUAGGCUGCUACCAGGCAGCUUUGUGCAUUUGGUGGCUUCCUUGGAAACUCAUCAAAUGCUUGGCACAAAUGCGUCCCUCCUCCAGUGACAGGAGCUCACACUUCGGCAAGCAUCAAACUGCUCUGAAAUGUGAUAACGGCGUCUGUCAAUUUCUGCACACAGAGUGCUGUUUUCUGCAGCGGGACUGUUUGUCUUGGCCUUCUGGAGCUGUAGGAGCUUUCAGACCCCCUACUCCUUGGAGCAAGGUGCUGCUGCAAUGGGGUGAGCGCGGAGCAAACAUUGAAAGGCUUUGAGCUGGGAGCUCAGUGGACCCUCAAAGCUCAUGGAGGACCUGGCAAGGGUUCUCUUAGAAAGGGGCUAAUGGAAAUGUCCUUUAGGAAAGGUGAGGAUUCUUCCUGCUGGAUGCCAUGAAGAUUAAGGAUGACGGAG